CACGUAGGGCGCAAGCGUUGUCCGGAAUUAUUGGGCGUAAAGAGCUCGUAGGCGGUCUGUACAGUCAGGCGUGAAAUUCCUGGGCUCAACCUGGGGGCUGCGUUUGAUACGUGCAGACUAGAGUGCGGAAGAGGGUCGUGGAAUUCCCAGUGUAGAGGUGAAAUUCGUAGAUAUUGGGAAGAACACCGGUGGCGAAGGCGGCGACCUGGUCCGAUACUGACGCUGAGGCGCGAAAGCGUGGGGAGCAAACAGG
This 253-nucleotide ribosomal RNA is filed under the name uncultured bacterium. Its description in RNAcentral is "partial 16S ribosomal RNA". It matches the Rfam family "Bacterial small subunit ribosomal RNA", at positions 524 to 776 of the family's 1533-position model. The record is from RNAcentral.